Molecule: unclassified non-coding RNA, 736 nt
Filed under: Hevea brasiliensis (rubber tree)
Lineage: Eukaryota; Viridiplantae; Streptophyta; Magnoliopsida; Malpighiales; Euphorbiaceae
Source: RNAcentral
AGAACAUUCAUCUAUAGAGAAUAGGGCUAUUGAAAUAAAUAAACCCAAAGUUGAAAGAGAUUACAAGAACAAGGUCACAAGUUUCUGCAGCUUAGUGAGUAAGCAAAAUUACAAACUAGCAACAAAAAGAAUGAUAUAUGUACUUCCAAGAAACAAUUUACACAAAACAAGCGCAAACUAUGAACCAAGGCAGUUGCACCAGAAUUUGCAAAACUGCCUUCGUCGUGAAUACUUUACUUACACUUGGAAUACACCUAGGUUAUAAAAACACAACAACGAAAGCUAUUGACUUGACGAGGGGUUGGCGCUGCCCCUGUUUACUUUGGUUUGGCUAUGGUCAUGAAGUUAUUAACAGAUUAGUUUUGGAUGUAGCUAUAGUUGUUCAGCCUGCUUUGAGGAUUCCAAGUGUGGAGGUAAAAGAUUAAGGAAACUUCCAUGAGCCUGUUGAGAGUCGGUGGCUUCUGAAUCCUCACUGAAAAGCGACUUCACAGUAGGCCUCUUAGCUUUGUUGCUCUUCUUCUUCAAUUCAGCCAUUUGAGAAACAUCGUUAUCAUUCACAAUCUCAAAGUUUUUGUAAGUGUAACCCAUAAAGUUGACAUCCUUUGAGGAGAGCAUCUUCCUCCAUGGACCUGAUUUUGCUGCAGUUGGAAUUUGAUUGUCGCCCUCUUCAAACUUCUCAAAAUUCUGAGUAUCCAACUCGCCAUUAACUUCUGGAAUAAAUGCAGCUUUCAUUUGA